This 497-nucleotide ribosomal RNA is filed under the name uncultured bacterium. Its description in RNAcentral is "partial 16S ribosomal RNA". It matches the Rfam family "Bacterial small subunit ribosomal RNA", at positions 28 to 507 of the family's 1533-position model. The record is from RNAcentral.
GAUGAACGCUGGCGGUGUGCCUAAUACAUGCAAGUCGAGCGAACAGACGAGGAGCUUACUCCUCUGACGUUAGCGGCGGACGGGUGAGUAACACGUGGAUAACCUACCUAUAAGACUGGGAUAACUUCGGGAAACCGGAGCUAAUACCGGAUAACAUGUUGAACCGCAUGGUUCAACAGUGAAAGACGGUCUUGCUGUCACUUAUAGAUGGAUCCGCGUCGCAUUAGCUAGUUGGUAAGGUAACGGCUUACCAAGGCAACGAUGCGUAGCCGACCUGAGAGGGUGAUCGGCCACACUGGAACUGAGACACGGUCCAGACUCCUACGGGAGGCAGCAGUAGGGAAUCUUCCGCAAUGGGCGAAAGCCUGACGGAGCAACGCCGCGUGAGUGAAGAAGGUCUUCGGAUCGUAAAACUCUGUUAUUAGGGAAGAACAAGUGUGUAAGUAACUAUGCACGUCUUGACGGUACCUAAUCAGAAAGCCACGGCUAACUACGUG